CCGCCAUCCAUAAUUGCCAUAUUUUAGUAACAUUCUAGCCUUACUCUUAAAGCCCUAAUUUAAACACAUUUUCAGCCAACCGACACAAUAAAUUGUAGAUCCAUUGAAAGCAACAAAGUUGGCCUUUUCUGACUUUUUUGGCCACUUUGAAAAAUUUUUCAGCUGCUUUAUGUCUUAGGUUCCUCUCUCUCUCUCUCUCUCUCUCUAUUUUUUUAGUAAAAUCUGCCAUAAUUUUUUAAUUGAAAGUUGAGCACUACAAUUCAAGGCCAGGAUUCCUUGGGUGAUGCUUUUCUUCUUUAGUACAAAUGGACAGUCAUACUAAUCUAGUGUAAGAACAGUCCAAUAGAUCAAGAUAUAAAAAAUCCCGCAAAAUCAGUGGACAAUCUCCACCCUAUCUCCAAAUCCAAUCGUU
RNAcentral lists this long non-coding RNA (412 nucleotides) under Elaeis guineensis (African oil palm). Its description in RNAcentral is "long non-coding RNA (EGUI_LNC000282)". Lineage: Eukaryota; Viridiplantae; Streptophyta; Magnoliopsida; Arecales; Arecaceae. The record is from RNAcentral.